GCACCUUGCGGGAGCUCCUCUUCGCCGC
Molecule: small RNA, 28 nt
Filed under: Bombyx mori (domestic silkworm)
Lineage: Eukaryota; Metazoa; Arthropoda; Insecta; Lepidoptera; Bombycidae
Description: ovarian small RNA-16339
Source: RNAcentral